Molecule: ribosomal RNA, 253 nt
Filed under: uncultured bacterium
Lineage: Bacteria
Description: partial 16S ribosomal RNA
Rfam family: Bacterial small subunit ribosomal RNA
Source: RNAcentral
UACGGAGGAUGCGAGCGUUAUCCGGAUUCACUGGGUUUAAAGGGUGAGUAGGCGGGUUAGUAAGUCAGUGGUGAAAGUCUGUCGCUUAACGAUAGGAUUGCCAUUGAUACUGCUAGUCUUGAGUUCAGUUGAGGUAGGCGGAAUGUGCAGUGUAGCGGUGAAAUGCUUAGAUAUUGCACAGAACACCAAUUGCGAAGGCAGCUUACUAAACUGAUACUGACGCUGAGUCACGAAAGCGUGGGGAUCAAACAGG